UGGGGAAUAUUGCACAAUGGGCGAAAGCCUGAUGCAGCGACGCCGCGUGAGGGAUGACGGCCUUCGGGUUGUAAACCUCUUUCAGCAGGGAAGAAGCGAAAGUGACGGUACCUGCAGAAGAAGCACCGGCUAACUACGUGCCAGCAGCCGCGGUAAUACGUAGGGUGCGAGCGUUGUCCGGAAUUAUUGGGCGUAAAGAGCUUGUAGGCGGUUUGUCGCGUCUGCCGUGAAAAUCCGGGGCUCAACCCCGGACUUGCGGUGGGUACGGGCAGACUAGAGUGUGGUAGGGGAGACUGGAAUUCCUGGUGUAGCGGUGAAAUGCGCAGAUAUCAGGAGGAACACCGAUGGCGAAGGCAGGUCUCUGGGCCACUACUGACGCCGAGAAGCGAAAGCAUGGGGAGCGAACAGGAUUAGAUACCCUGGUAGUCCAUGCCGUAAACGUUGGGAACUAGGUGUGGGUCUCAUUCCACGAGAUCCGUGCCGCAGCUAACGCAUUAAGUUCCCCGCCUGGGGAGUACGGCCGCAAGGCUA
Molecule: ribosomal RNA, 531 nt
Filed under: uncultured bacterium
Lineage: Bacteria
Description: bacterial SSU rRNA
Rfam family: Bacterial small subunit ribosomal RNA
Source: RNAcentral